GCCGGAGUGGUGAAACUGGUAGACGCGCACGGUUCAGGGCCGUGUGCCCGAAAGGGCGUGGGGGUUCGACUCCCCCCUUCGGCA
Molecule: transfer RNA, 84 nt
Filed under: marine sediment metagenome
Rfam family: tRNA
About the family: Transfer RNA (tRNA) molecules are approximately 80 nucleotides in length. Their secondary structure includes four short double-helical elements and three loops (D, anti-codon, and T loops). Further hydrogen bonds mediate the characteristic L-shaped molecular structure. tRNAs have two regions of fundamental functional importance: the anti-codon, which is responsible for specific mRNA codon recognition, and the 3' end, to which the tRNAs corresponding amino acid is attached (by aminoacyl-tRNA synthetases). tRNAs cope with the degeneracy of the genetic code in two manners: having more than one tRNA (with a specific anti-codon) for a particular amino acid; and 'wobble' base-pairing, i.e. permitting non-standard base-pairing at the 3rd anti-codon position.
Source: RNAcentral